This 88-nucleotide transfer RNA is filed under the name Phycisphaerales bacterium. RNAcentral describes it as "tRNA-Ser". It matches the Rfam family "tRNA". Rfam says of the family: Transfer RNA (tRNA) molecules are approximately 80 nucleotides in length. Lineage: Bacteria; Pseudomonadati; Planctomycetota; Phycisphaerae; Phycisphaerales. The record is from RNAcentral.
GGUGGGGUGGCUGAGCGGCUGAAGGCGCCGGACUUGAAAUCCGGUAACGGGCUUGUCCUGUUCAUGGGUUCGAAUCCCAUCCCCACCG